Molecule: ribosomal RNA, 1244 nt
Filed under: metagenome
Description: bacterial LSU rRNA
Rfam family: Bacterial large subunit ribosomal RNA
Source: RNAcentral
UGAAUACGAGACGCUAAGGCGUCGAAGUAGUGUAUGUCAUACUUCCAAGAAAAGCUUGCACUGUCAUAGAUAAAAAACGCCUGUACCAUAACCGACACAGGUGGGUAGGUAGAGUAUACUAAGGGGCGCGAGAUAACUCUCUCUAAGGAACUCGGCAAAAUAACUCCGUAACUUCGGGAGAAGGAGUGCCUUAUUCUUAAGGUUGCAAUAACAAGAUCCAAGCAACUGUUUAUCAAAAACACAGGUCUCCGCUAAGUCGUAAGACGAUGUAUGGGGGCUGACGCCUGCCCAGUGCCAGAAGGUUAAAGAAGCUGGUUAGCAUUUGCGAAGCUAGUAACUGAAGCCCUGGUGAACGGCGGCCGUAACAAUAAUGGUCCUAAGGUAGCGAAAUUCCUUGUCGGGUAAGUUCCGACCCGCACGAAAGGCGUAAUGAUUUGGAUACUGUCUCGGAGAGGGGCUCGGUGAAAUAGACUUGUCUGUUAAGAUGCGGACUACCUGCACCAGGACAGAAAGACCCUAUGAAGCUUUACUGUAACUUGAAAUUGAAAUUGGACUUUAUUCGCGCAGUAUAGGUGGGAGGCGUUGAUUAUAAUCUUGCGGGAUUAUUGGAGCCAUUAGUGAGAUACCACUCUUGUAAUGUUAGAUUUCUAACUUUGAAUCAUUAUCUGGUCAAAGAACAGUUUCAGGCGGGCAGUUUGACUGGGGCGGUCGCCUCCCAAACGGUAACGGAGGCGUACAAAGGUUUCCUCUGAACGGUUAGAAAUCGUAUCUAGAGUGUAAAGGCAUAAGGAAGCUUGACUGUGAGACCUACAAGUCGAGCAGGGACGAAAGUCGGUCUUAGUGAUCUGACGGUACUGAGUGGAAAGGCCGUCACUCAACGGAUAAAAGUUACUCUAGGAUAACAGGCUGAUCUCCCCCAAGAGUUCACAUCGACGGGGAGGUUUGGCACCUCGAUGUCGGCUCAUCGCAUCCUGGGGCGGUAGUACGUCCCAAGGGUUGGGCUGUUCGCCCAUGAAAGCGGUACGCGAGCUGGGUUCAGAACGUCGUGAGACAGUUCGGUCCAUAUCCGGUGUAGGCGUUAGAAUAUUGAGAGGAGCCUUCUUUAGUACGAGAGGACCGAGAAGGACAUACCUCUGGUGUACCAGUUAUCGUGCCAACGGUAGACGCUGGGUAGCUAUGUAUGGAGUGGAUAACCGCUGAAAGCAUCUAAGUGGGAAGCCCACCUCAAGAUAAGUAUUCUCAUC